UGGCACCAUCGGCUAAAAAAGGUCAUGUGGCAGGAAGCAUGUCGGUAUGUGACAGUUUCCUGGGCCAUGUAUUGUAACUGCCACGUUAUGCUUCUAUAGUUGCAACCCUAGGAACCGUGGGAAACACCAGCUGCAAGCCUUGGGGACGCUUCAAGAGGUAAUUAAUGCCCAGGAAAAAAAAAAAAAAACAAAAAAACCUUAGCCGGAAAAGUUUUCCUUUAUUUAGGUCCCAUGUUGCCCAACAGCAGCAGGCUUAGACAGGAGUGUUACAGGCUACUGCUUAGUAGGACUCUGGGACCUUUCAGCUAUAAAAGGUUAUCAAUGUAUGGGGUUUGUCAAGCAUAGCCAGUCGGUUACAGGAGUCAACUUUCGGUUGUCAUUGAAGUUCCUAUAAGCCUCUUGCUUUGUACUGAGCAAGCAAACAACUUCUAAUCCCUCAGCCGUGUAGUUCCAAGUGCACCACAGAGCGCUGAGCCAUGCAAGCCUUGGCCCCGUGUUCCGUGUGGUUGGGUGCAGGUUAACCAGGCCUUCUGUUCUCUGCAGGAAUUCCCGCCUUGUGUGCACACCAAGCUCGGAACUGGCAGGUUCCGUCCUGACCUCCCUGUUUGGAUAUCGCUUCUCUGUGAAAGCUUGCUGUCAGACCCGCCCCACAGAUGAGCUAUCCGGGCUAUUCUUUUCUUUUUAAAGCAGGAAUACAUGAUUUUCUGUUUGGAGAGACUUCACGACACAUUUUUUUUUUGGUUCUUUUUUUUUUUUUUUGGUUCUUUUUUUCGGAGCUGGGGACCGAACCCAGGGCCUUGCGCUUCCUAGGCAAGCGCUCUACCACUGAGCUAAAUCCCCAGCCCCUACGACACAUUUGAGAAUCCAGUAUCUAAGUCUUUGAUUUCAGGGAAAGAGCGUUGGAAGGAAAGACUUCCACACUGCAGCCCACAGCAAGUCGGGCCACCACCAUGUGGGGAACUCUGUUAAAGAGUUGCAGUAUUAGGGAGGUUGAGGACCAGUGCUCUAUGCCAAGGGUAACUUUUUGUCUUUCUACUGAAGAAACUGGGGCAAGGAAGGUUUUAUUCAUUUGUUCAUUUCUGUGUUUGUUUGUUUGUUUGUUUGUAGUGUGUAGUGGGCUGGAGAGAUGGCUCAGCAGUUAAAAGCAUUUGCUGCUCUUGCAGAGGAUCCCAGCGCCCAUGUCUAGAAGUCUACGACUGCCUGUAACUCCAGCUCCUGAGGGUCCCGUGCUCCAUGGACACCAGCCCUCACGGACACACAUUCACACAGUUGAGGCUCCGUCUGUCGCUAUGCGCUGUAAUGCUCAAUACUGGCCCUCGAGGCCUGGUUGCUCCCAGGAAGGAGAAAAUCUGCCCUUACACAAGUGAUGCUGUGUAACCUCACCCCUCCCCCCAAGUUAUCCCUGAUUGGUGAAUAAAGAUGCCGACAGCCAUUAGCUGGGCAGAGGAGAGACAGGCAAGGUUUGGGUUCCUGGGCUUGAGAUCAGAGGAGAAGCCAUGAGGAGAGAGAGAGAGAAGGUGGAGAGAGGAAAAGAUGCCACAGGGUGGGUGAGUCAUAAAACCAGGGCCAUGAGGGCUGGCCAAUUGGAGUUAAGAGCUGACCAGAUGAAACGUGACAAGUUAUAACUUGGAGUUGUUGAUGGGGACGUAGAUUCUAAUAUCACGGAGGGUAGACAUCUGCCAGCUCUAGUGCAUUAUAGGCUUACUAUAAAUAUAAAGAUUGUGUGGUUUUUAAUCAGCGAGCUGAAUGAUCAAAGAUAGAGUAGAAACCUCCCAUUAAUAUUAAAAUGUUUUCUACAACGCACAUACCCUUGAUUAUUACAAAAUAAAGUAAACCUACUAGCCAGAUGUGGCGGCGCGCACCUUCAAUCCCAGCGCCCAGGAGCAGAGGCCGCAGAUCUCUAUUCAUCUGAGGUCAUCUUGCGCUACACAGUGCGUUCCAGCGAGCAUUGAGGCGCAUACGUGUGAUCCCGGUACUAAAGGGGGGGAGGGGUAGGAUCAUGAGUUCACAGAUCUGAAAAGAAGACGUGAACUGAGGAAGCAUGGACCAGGAACUGAACUGCGUGAGGGGAAUUCUGAGUGCUUGUGAGAGAAUGCCUGGAAAACAAGACAAGAGUUGUGACCUCGGUUUCUUCAAAACCUCGAUCUGUUCUUGGAGCGGUUCUCAGUGUCGCCCCUAGGUGUACUAGAUGAGAGUGGGUUUACUUCAGAUUAUUCAUUAAGACUAGCUAUCGUUAUUUGUUUAUAUGCUUCUAUGAAAAUACACGUUUUGGGGGGGAGGGGGGGUUGGGGAUUUAGCUCAGCGGUAGAGCGCUUGCCUAGCAAGCGCAAGGCCCUGGGUUUGGUCCCCAGCUCCGAAAAAAAGAAAAGGAAAAAAAAGAAAGAAAGAAAGAAAGAAAGAGAGAGAGAGAGAGAGAAAAAGAAAGAAAGAAAGAAAGAAAGAAAGAAAGAAAGAAAGAAAGAAAGAAGGAAAGAAAAUACACGUUUUGCCGUGUGCAGCGUGUCCUUUAGAUUGUACGUUUACUCAUGUGGUUCUCCUUAAACCUCAGAGGAUAAACCGUUCGAUGCUCUGAAUAAAGUUGGCUAUUGCAUGAGACUUUAGUCCGCCUCACUUUUAGGCUCCGUUCUCCCAGGUUCAGCCACCUUCAGAGUAGUAAACAGAGCACCUGACGGAGUAGGCAGGAGAAGAUAUGCCCAGACUCAACCAACUGGCAAACAGAUAGAAAGGAUUCAAACCUGCUCACACACUUGGCUCCGGCUCUGUCAACACCGCGAAACCUUUAGAACAGUUUGCCCCGUCAGAGUCCACAAGAGCUGUGCUGACAGCGUGGCCUUAAGGAGAACUGAACUUACGCCAGGCAGACGGAAGCAUUUCCCAAACACCCACGCUGCCGGUCUCAUCAGAAGCCUGAGGCCACCCUCAGCUGCUGCCGCAUGCUCUCCUGAACUGUGGUAACAGGACGGCAGAGGGACCACUGCAAUGUGCUGGCUGGGGGGUUGCAUUGCAACCUGUCCCGAGACCUGCCAGCGCCAGUGAGACCUCUCUCUGACCCUCCUCCCAC
Molecule: long non-coding RNA, 3061 nt
Organism: Rattus norvegicus (Norway rat)
Lineage: Eukaryota; Metazoa; Chordata; Mammalia; Rodentia; Muridae
Source: Ensembl